Molecule: long non-coding RNA, 2748 nt
Organism: Homo sapiens (human)
Lineage: Eukaryota; Metazoa; Chordata; Mammalia; Primates; Hominidae
Exons: 8
Source: RefSeq, marked predicted
GUUGCCCAGGCUGGAGUGCAGUGGCACGAUCUUGGCUCACUGCAACCUCUGACUCCCGGUUCAAGCAAUUCUCCUACCUCAGCCUCCCAAGUAGCUGGGAUUACAGGUGCCCAACCACGCCCUGCUAAUUUUUUGUGUUUUUAGUAGAGACGAGGUUUCACCAUGUUGGCCAGGCUGGUUUUGAACUCCUGAUCUCAAGUGAUCCGCCCGCCUUGGCCUCCCAACCUGCUAAGAUUACAGGCGUGAGCCACCGCACCUGGCAAAAACUGUGCUUUCUUAUGGUAUAUUUUUUUCCCUUUCUUCUGAAACAUUUUUAGAUUGUUAUCUCAUUUUACUUCAUUUUACAUCAGAAGGUUUUCACAUAGGAGUCCGUAUUCUUAGGUUUUGUAUGCUUUGGAGGAUUUCACUCUCUAUUCAUUCCCUGUGAGGUCCUAUAUGAUGCCUGUUUCCAAGGGAAGAAGUAAAGUCAAGAAACAAGAUAUCCUCAAGCUACUCUUAGGAUCAGUGUCUGCAUAGAUCUGGCACACAGAAAUGCAAGGAAACAAUUUGUGCAAAGCAUUAAAAAAAAAAGGGGGGACCCUGAGAGUAUAACAAGUGCUCCUGAGAGAGGACAGACGGAGAGGACGCAUGGGCAGGGAUGGCCGCCCUGAGCAGCUGAUGUUCGAGCUAAGAUCUGAAAGGUGCAUGAUUUCCCACUUACCUCCCGCAACCACUACCACCCACGUUGUCCACAGUAUUCAGCUGUCUCAGGGAGGAUCACAAUUAUUCUAAUGGGACUGCAAAGAGUGAAGGACACAGCUUUUAACAUCAGAUUCGAAUCCUACAAUUUGGAACCCAUGGGCACUUCUAGAUUGGAUCUUGCAGAGAUUUUUUACAACAGAAAUAAUGGAAAGGCAAAAGAAAACAUUGAGUAAUAACCAACCCAAGCAAGUCCAGCCUCUUUCUGCAGAAGAUAAUCAGGAUGACUCCACCUUUGUACCUGACUGAGGAACUUAGUGAACCCUGAAGAAAUGAUGAUUAAAGAGACAAUGAAGAGGCCAGGCGCAGUGGCUCAUGCCUGUAAUCCCAGCACUUUGGGAGGCCGAGGUGAUGAGACAUUUUCUGGCUGAGAGACAGAGAUAUCCUAGAAAGGUGUCAAGUUAAAAGAGGGCCGAUGAAAGGACUUGAGCCACAGCCAUCGGAGGAGGGUAUGGAUGGCUGCAAGCCCACAGGCCACCUGUUGAAGAGAGGAAAAAAAAAACAGAUUUCAAAUGUGCCCGUGGACUUCGAGCUGGUGCGUUCAGUGGCAAAGCUGGAAUUCAAAUCUCAGGGCUCCUGCUCUGGGCUUCUUCUCCAUGAAACUUGGAGGAAAAGAAAAAGGAAGACACUCUUACUGGUCAGAGGAGAGAACACAAUUCCUUCAGUGGAACCAGUAAUUCAAGCUACUGCAUAUGCCAAUUAAAGACCAAUCUGGGGAAAGGUGGAUGCCCUGGGCUCCAUCUGCCAUUCAACCACUGAUUACGGCCUUGUACGGAUGGACUUUCAGCAGCAGGAACCCAAAAUCAUUGGUGAAAUAGGAAAGCUAUUGUACAGAUAUUAGAAAAAUAAGACCUUCACAGUCAUCAGAAAAGUUAUCACUUAAUGUCAUGUGUCAUCAGUCCUUUCUUGUGAUUGAUUAUGUUUGUAUACAUGCACUUGAAAUGUGUUUUUAAAAGAGUAUUAUAAGAGAUAUUUUUCCAGUAAGUACAAUAAGCAUUCAAUAGUAGAACAAAUAGAACAUUGAUAUCUCAUUAUUAGUAUUGCUCACAUGUGUAUUAUGAGGCAGAAUUAAAGCUGAAAUGCAAUAAGAGCCAUAUUUUAUCAUAAUAGAUAUUUUUCAUUUUCUGAAAUAAUAUAAUAAAAUAAUGUGGUUGGUUAAAGUAUGUACACACAGGCUAUCAAUUAAGAUGUUUUAAAUUUAAUUAAAUAUUAAAUAAUAAAAGCCACAAGGGGAAGUAAGGGAAGUAAGACAAUUCUUUCUUUAACAUACAACACAUUUAAAUGUUUUCUGAUAAUUAUAGAAAUAUCAAAAUCAGAUCAAUCUUCAUACCUCAGAAAAUUAAAUGAUUAAAUACUGGAGACUAUUAAAACAAAUAAAACUGUUUAUUCCACAACUUUGCACAGCUAAAAAAAAAUCUUCUAUCAUGUCUAGAAACAUGUUUCUGACAUAUGCACACCUCACCAGCAUAUCUCAGGUUAUUAUACACCUCCAACCACAGCCUCACGGUGGCAGGCAGUCAGUAAGAUGGACCCCAGUGAUCCCUGCCUCCUGGUAUUCACAGUCUAGGGUAAUCUCCUUCCCUUGAGUGUGAGCCUGUGGCUUACUUCUAACCAAUAAGAGUACAGCAAAAGCAAUGGGAUGUCAAUUCUGUGAGUAUGUAAAAUUGUAACUUCCAUCUUGCAAGCCAACUCUCUUCUUUGCUGGCUUUCAUGACGCAAUAUACCAUGUUGGAGGGGCUCGCGUGGCGAAGAACUGAGAGGCCUGUAGGAACAAAGUCCAAUAGCCAGGUAGGAAGGAGUCCCUCAGUCCCACAACCCAAGGAAACUGAAUUCUGUCAACUAACACGCAUGUAAGUGAGCUUGGAAGUGACUUCUUCCCCAAGUGAGUCUUCAGAUGAGGUCCUAGCCAACUUUUUGAUUGCAGCUUGUGACAGACCCUGAAGCAAAGGACUCAGCUAAGUUGUGUCCUAAUUCCUCCACUGUGAGAAAAUAAAUGUGUGUUUUUUAAAA